AUACAGUUGACGAGUCCCAAAUAGGACUAAAUGCGCUUUAUCCUGGAU
RNAcentral lists this non-coding RNA (48 nucleotides) under Trichobilharzia regenti. The record is from RNAcentral. Lineage: Eukaryota; Metazoa; Platyhelminthes; Trematoda; Strigeidida; Schistosomatidae.